This 408-nucleotide ribosomal RNA is filed under the name uncultured bacterium. RNAcentral describes it as "partial 16S ribosomal RNA". It matches the Rfam family "Bacterial small subunit ribosomal RNA", at positions 28 to 526 of the family's 1533-position model. The record is from RNAcentral.
GACGAACGCUGGCGGCGUGCUUAACACAUGCAAGUCGAACGAAGUGGCGAACGGGUGAGUAACGCGUAAUCAACCUGCCCUUCAGAGGGGGACAACAGUUGGAAACGACUGCUAAUACCGCAUACUGAAGGUGGUGAUUGCGUCUGAUUAGCUAGUUGGCGGGGUAACGGCCCACCAAGGCGAUGAUCAGUAGCCGGGCUGAGAGGAUGAACGGCCAAAUUGGGACUGGGAAACGGGCCAGAAUCCUACGGGAGGCAGCAGUGGGGAAUCUUCCGAAAUGGAGGAAAGUCUGACGGAGCAACUCCGCGUGAGUGAUGACGGCCUUCGGGUGGUAAAGCUCUGUUAAUCGGGACGCGGUACCGGAAGAGAAAGCCACGGCUAACUACGUGCCAGCAGCCGCGGUAAUUC